This 279-nucleotide ribosomal RNA is filed under the name uncultured bacterium. Its description in RNAcentral is "partial 16S ribosomal RNA". It matches the Rfam family "Bacterial small subunit ribosomal RNA", at positions 506 to 784 of the family's 1533-position model. The record is from RNAcentral.
UGCCAGCCGCCGCGGUAAUACGGAGGUCCCGAGCGUUGUUCGGAUUCACUGGGCGUAAAGAGUAUGUAGGCGGCCCGUUAAGUCUGAUGUGAAAGCUCCGAGCUCAACUCGGAAAUUGCAUUGGAUACUGGCGGGCUAGAGAUCCGGAGGGGAGACUGGAAUUCUCGGUGUAGCAGUGAAAUGCGUAGAUAUCGAGAGGAACACCAGUGGCGAAGGCGAGUCUCUGGACGGUUUCUGACGCUGAGAUACGAAAGUUAGGGUAGCAAACAGGAUUAGAUA